ACUAAGCGUACACGGUGGAUGCCCUGGCAGUCAGAGGCGAUGAAGGACGUGCUAAUCUGCGAUAAGCGUCGGUAAGGUGAUAUGAACCGUUAUAACCGGCGAUUUCCGAAUGGGGAAACCCAGUGUGAUUCGUCACACUAUCAUUAACUGAAUCCAUAGGUUAAUGAGGCGAACCGGGGGAACUGAAACAUCUAAGUACCCCGAGGAAAAGAAAUCAACCGAGAUUCCCCCAGUAGCGGCGAGCGAACGGGGAGGAGCCCAGAGCCUGAAUCAGUGUGUGUGUUAGUGGAAGCGUCUGGAAAGGCGCGCGAUACAGGGUGACAGCCCCGUACACAAAAAUGCACAUGCUGUGAGCUCGAUGAGUAGGGCGGGACACGUGGUAUCCUGUCUGAAUAUGGGGGGACCAUCCUCCAAGGCUAAAUACUCCUGACUGACCGAUAGUGAACCAGUACCGUGAGGGAAAGGCGAAAAGAACCCCGGCGAGGGGAGUGAAAAAGAACCUGAAACCGUGUACGUACAAGCAGUGGGAGCCUCUUUAUGGGGUGACUGCGUACCUUUUGUAUAAUGGGUCAGCGACUUAUAUUCUGUAGCAAGGUUAACCGAAUAGGGGAGCCGAAGGGAAACCGAGUCUUAACUGGGCGUUAAGUUGCAGGGUAUAGACCCGAAACCCGGUGAUCUAGCCAUGGGCAGGUUGAAGGUUGGGUAACACUAACUGGAGGACCGAACCGACUAAUGUUGAAAAAUUAGCGGAUGACUUGUGGCUGGGGGUGAAAGGCCAAUCAAACCGGGAGAUAGCUGGUUCUCCCCGAAAGCUAUUUAGGUAGCGCCUCGUGAAUUCAUCUCCGGGGGUAGAGCACUGUUUCGGCAAGGGGGUCAUCCCGACUUACCAACCCGAUGCAAACUGCGAAUACCGGAGAAUGUUAUCACGGGAGACACACGGCGGGUGCUAACGUCCGUCGUGAAGAGGGAAACAACCCAGACCGCCAGCUAAGGUCCCAAAGUCAUGGUUAAGUGGGAAACGAUGUGGGAAGGCCCAGACAGCCAGGAUGUUGGCUUAGAAGCAGCCAUCAUUUAAAGAAAGCGUAAUAGCUCACUGGUCGAGUCGGCCUGCGCGGAAGAUGUAACGGGGCUAAACCAUGCACCGAAGCUGCGGCAGCGACGCUUAUGCGUUGUUGGGUAGGGGAGCGUUCUGUAAGCCUGCGAAGGUGGCCUGUGAGGGUUGCUGGAGGUAUCAGAAGUGCGAAUGCUGACAUAAGUAACGAUAAAGCGGGUGAAAAGCCCGCUCGCCGGAAGACCAAGGGUUCCUGUCCAACGUUAAUCGGGGCAGGGUGAGUCGACCCCUAAGGCGAGGCCGAAAGGCGUAGUCGAUGGGAAACAGGUUAAUAUUCCUGUACUUGGUGUUACUGCGAAGGGGGGACGGAGAAGGCUAUGUUGGCCGGGCGACGGUUGUCCCGGUUUAAGCGUGUAGGCUGGUUUUCCAGGCAAAUCCGGAAAAUCAAGGCUGAGGCGUGAUGACGAGGCACUACGGUGCUGAAGCAACAAAUGCCCUGCUUCCAGGAAAAGCCUCUAAGCAUCAGGUAACAUCAAAUCGUACCCCAAACCGACACAGGUGGUCAGGUAGAGAAUACCAAGGCGCUUGAGAGAACUCGGGUGAAGGAACUAGGCAAAAUGGUGCCGUAACUUCGGGAGAAGGCACGCUGAUAUGUAGGUGAAGCGACUUGCUCGUGGAGCUGAAAUCAGUCGAAGAUACCAGCUGGCUGCAACUGUUUAUUAAAAACACAGCACUGUGCAAACACGAAAGUGGACGUAUACGGUGUGACGCCUGCCCGGUGCCGGAAGGUUAAUUGAUGGGGUUAGCGGUAACGCGAAGCUCUUGAUCGAAGCCCCGGUAAACGGCGGCCGUAACUAUAACGGUCCUAAGGUAGCGAAAUUCCUUGUCGGGUAAGUUCCGACCUGCACGAAUGGCGUAAUGAUGGCCAGGCUGUCUCCACCCGAGACUCAGUGAAAUUGAACUCGCUGUGAAGAUGCAGUGUACCCGCGGCAAGACGGAAAGACCCCGUGAACCUUUACUAUAGCUUGACACUGAACAUUGAGCCUUGAUGUGUAGGAUAGGUGGGAGGCUUUGAAGUGUGGACGCCAGUCUGCAUGGAGCCGACCUUGAAAUACCACCCUUUAAUGUUUGAUGUUCUAACGUUGGCCCCUGAUCGGGGUUGCGGACAGUGUCUGGUGGGUAGUUUGACUGGGGCGGUCUCCUCCUAAAGAGUAACGGAGGAGCACGAAGGUUGGCUAAUCCUGGUCGGACAUCAGGAGGUUAGUGCAAUGGCAUAAGCCAGCUUGACUGCGAGCGUGACGGCGCGAGCAGGUGCGAAAGCAGGUCAUAGUGAUCCGGUGGUUCUGAAUGGAAGGGCCAUCGCUCAACGGAUAAAAGGUACUCCGGGGAUAACAGGCUGAUACCGCCCAAGAGUUCAUAUCGACGGCGGUGUUUGGCACCUCGAUGUCGGCUCAUCACAUCCUGGGGCUGAAGUAGGUCCCAAGGGUAUGGCUGUUCGCCAUUUAAAGUGGUACGCGAGCUGGGUUUAGAACGUCGUGAGACAGUUCGGUCCCUAUCUGCCGUGGGCGCUGGAGAACUGAGGGGGGCUGCUCCUAGUACGAGAGGACCGGAGUGGACGCAUCACUGGUGUUCGGGUUGUCAUGCCAAUGGCACUGCCCGGUAGCUAAAUGCGGAAGAGAUAAGUGCUGAAAGCAUCUAAGCACGAAACUUGCCCCGAGAUGAGUUCUCCCUGACUCCUUGAGAGUCCUGAAGGAACGUUGAAGACGACGACGUUGAUAGGCCGGGUGUGUAAGCGCAGCGAUGCGUUGAGCUAACCGGUACUAAUGAACCGUGAGGCUUAACC
RNAcentral lists this ribosomal RNA (2894 nucleotides) under Escherichia coli. RNAcentral describes it as "bacterial LSU rRNA". It matches the Rfam family "Bacterial large subunit ribosomal RNA". Lineage: Bacteria; Pseudomonadati; Pseudomonadota; Gammaproteobacteria; Enterobacterales; Enterobacteriaceae. The record is from RNAcentral.